AAGCAAAGAAUAUCCUUUUAUCUUUGGCAAAAACAGCAGAAGAACAACAGUUAGCUAACCAAGUUGUAGGAUACUUGGAUAAUAGUAGCAUUGAAAACCUUCUGUCAAUCUCUGUUAAUGAUAAUGAUGAGGAUGAAGAUAAUGACGAAGACGAUGAAGACGACGAAGAUGACGAUGAAGACGAUGAAGAUGACGAUGAAAGUUAUGAAGAGGAAGUCGAUGGUCCUUCACCAGUCGCUUCAUCAUAUGACGAUAAACAAGAACAAGAACCUGAGCUGGUUUAUUUAAACGGUGAUGCUGAAAAAAACCUCGAGGACUUGCUUACAGUGGCUGAAUUGUA
This 340-nucleotide long non-coding RNA is filed under the name Fragaria vesca (wild strawberry). Its description in RNAcentral is "long non-coding RNA (FVES_LNC003223)". Lineage: Eukaryota; Viridiplantae; Streptophyta; Magnoliopsida; Rosales; Rosaceae. The record is from RNAcentral.